RNAcentral lists this ribosomal RNA (577 nucleotides) under fungal yeast sp. DY72. RNAcentral describes it as "eukaryotic LSU rRNA". It matches the Rfam family "Eukaryotic large subunit ribosomal RNA", at positions 46 to 663 of the family's 3401-position model. Lineage: Eukaryota; Fungi. The record is from RNAcentral.
CUAAGCGGAGGAAAAGAAACCAACAGGGAUUGCCUUAGUAACGGCGAGUGAAGCGGCCAAAAGCUCAAAUUUGAAAUCGGCCACCAGGUCGAGUUGUAAUUUGUAGAUUGUAUCUUGAGAGCGGAUUAAAGUCUGUUGGAACACAGCGCCUUAGAGGGUGACAGCCCCGUAAAAUCUAUUCUCAUUGUAAGAUACUUUCGAAGAGUCGAGUUGUUUGGGAAUGCAGCUCUAAGUGGGAGGUAAAUUCCUUCUAAAGCUAAAUAUUGACGAGAGACCGAUAGCGAACAAGUACUGUGAAGGAAAGAUGAAAAGCACUUUGAAAAGAGAGUGAAAAAGUACGUGAAAUUGUUAAAAGGGAAGGGUAUUGAAUCAGACUUGGUGCUGUUGUUCAACCAUGUUUCGGCACAGUGUACUCAGCAGUACUAGGCCAAGGUGGGGUGUUUGGGAGUGAAAAAGAAGUUGGAACGUAACUCUUCGGAGUGUUAUAGCCUACUUUCAUAGCUCCUCAGGCGCCUCAGGACUGCGCUUCGGCAAGGACCUUGGCAUAAUGAUUCUAUACCGCCCGUCUUGAAACACG